RNAcentral lists this long non-coding RNA (2952 nucleotides) under Homo sapiens (human). RNAcentral's name for it is "non-protein coding WDFY3-AS2:14". The record is from RNAcentral. Lineage: Eukaryota; Metazoa; Chordata; Mammalia; Primates; Hominidae.
AAAGGUUUAUGGGACUCCCCAGUACUCUCCAUGUAGAGUCUAAUGUAGAAUCCAGGAGUGCACAGAAAAGUCACUGGAUGACACAGCAAGAGGCAACAUUUUGGAAGCAGAGGGCAACUCUCACUGGAAACCAAAUCUCCUGGCACCUUGAUCUUGGAUUUUACAGCCUCCAGAACUUUCUUUCUGUCUGCUCUAUCUCUCUGUGUCCAGGAUAGCUGGGAGGCAUUACAUAGUCAUGUGCGAGGUCAAAACUGAGUCACCACCACAACCAAGUUCCAGCUGGCAAGAAGAGGAAAAAUAACACAGAGGAGUUAUGACCAGUGUUGUAAGGAUCUGGCCUAGAAAUGGCAUGCAUCUCUUCCACUAAUAUCCUAUUGGUAAAAAUGUAGUCACAUGGGCACACCACCUAUCUGCAUGGAAGGCUGGGAAAUGUUGAUCGGUAGGGCAGCCAUAUGUGUAGGAAGGAGAAAACAGAAUUUGGUGGAUACCUAGUAGUCUCUGCCAUACCCUUGACCAGAAAUUUUUCUUCUAAAGAAUUUAAUUCUAAAAGUUAUAGACAUUCCCAAAGAUAUACCUGCAAGCAUCACAGCUUUGUGUAUAAUUGCAAAAGUUGAAAUCAACAUGAAUGCCCAAAAUAGUGAAUUAUUUAAACAGAUUAUUACCCAUAUUAUGAAGAAAUACUCUGCAACUCUUAAAAAUAAAUGUAAUGUGCCAGGCGCAAUGGGAUAUGCCUGCAGGCCCAGCUACACGGGAGGCCAAGGCAGGAGGAUCACUUGAAAUCAAGAGUUCAAGUCUAGCCUAGACAACAUAGUGAGACUUGGUCUCUAAAAAAGAAAAAAAAAAAUAAAACUGAUGUAAUGAAUAUAUAAUUACAACAAAAGAGGUCUAACACUAUAGUAGAAAAGUUUGGGGCACUCAUCCCAUUCAUAAUUAUUUUACAUUUAAAUUACUGUUCCUACUUAAGUGGUGAGCUUGGUAACCAUUUUCAUAUCAGGUGAUACUGCUGCAGUAAUCAUAGCUGUUUGAAUCAGGAAUAAUCCCAAUCACAUUUUCUCUUAAUCGUUUAUUAUACUGGGCAUUGGGGUUGCAAGAUAAUGCACAGUCCGAGCUCAAUACAUGUCUUCAUGUACCUGUAUGUAAAUCCCACUUUUAUUCUAAAAUUCUUUGAAUAUUUUGUUUCUUGGAACCCAAUGAUCCUAAGAAAAUUAUGUACUUUUACCUGAAAAUUAAAACCAAUAUUUAUAAAAAGUGUAUAUGCAGUAUGAUACCACUUUUAAAAAAAGAUAAAUUUAUAGAAAAAAGUUUAUAUGACUGACAACAAUGUCUCUGAGUGGUAGGAUUACAGUUAAUUUUUAUUUUCUUCAUUCUACUUAUCUUUAUUUUCUGAACUUUCUACAAUGAACAUGUUUUAUUUUUACUUUUGUUAAAAUAAAUAACAUUUAAUUUGACGGAAAAUUCUAAAAAUCAACAUUUGGUAACUUAAAUAUUCAUUGGCACAUGAUUCUGUGCCUGUUUCUGGGGGUCAUUCCCAUGAGAAGAGCAGGUAGAACUUAUGAGAAUAGAGCAGUCGAAAUAUUAUAGGUUUCAUAUUUUACGGCUUUAUUGAAAACAUUGAUAUAUUGAAUAUUCAUAAAUUUUAAUUUAACUUUCUUUUAUAAUCCUUAAUGUGAGGCUAAGGUAUAAGGAGAAAGGAGAUUGGUAAGGAAGUGUGAUACAUAUUGAAUCAGGUGUCAAGGUACCAUUUGUGCCUGGAUCUGACCAAUAGACCAAGGUAAAAAUCUCAAAGAAUGAGACUUGUAAUGAGAAUGCCACAAACUUGAAUACCUUAUGCACAAAACACAAACAUUGUUAUGCAUAAUGUACAUGAACCCUGAAACAAAGAUAAUGAUUUGGACCACCCAACUGAAGUGGCAUGUUAUGUUUUUGGCAUGAACAAAAGAAACAAGAGAGAAAAAAAUCAAAAUAAUUAAAAUAAAUUGUUAGAGAAAAGUUACUUUAAAAAUAGCUAUAACGCUUUGCAAUUUCAGUAACAGUUCUGCCUCUGAUGCAAUGUAAAACAUGUAUUAGACAUUCAGGCUCCACAAUAAAUUUUAAUGAGCACUACAAAUUUAGAAUAUAUAAAAAUAUCAGUAACCUAUGAAUUCAUCAACAUAACUCACUUUUCAGUUAAGUUAGGCUGAGUUGAAAUUCUACUAAGUUUUCCCAUAUUCUUGAUAAAGGCUAAAUUUGAAAUAAUUUAUUUAGAUGACUAAUUGGCAAUUUGAUAGUAGUUACAUUUUAUGUAACACUUGAUAUAAUAACCCAAAUUAAUUAGCUCAAUAUUAUCUUCUGUGGUUUAUUGAUCCAAAAGUACAUAUUUGUUAUGUAAACUUAUACUAUGUAAACUUGAAUUAGUUUUUUGCUUCCUUGAAUUAAUAAAGCCCAUUAAUGCAAAUCUAAGCCUUCAUAGACUUUUCCAAUCCUUAGUUAAAUAUUAAAAACUGAGUAUUGUAGUUAUUUGCUAGGUAUAAAAGGUGACUCAGAGUAGAGAGUAAGAUGUCAGCAAAUAGACAAUAAGAUGUCAGCAAAAGUGCCUCAAAUUUUAACUGCGUCAAGUUAAGGGCAUUGUAAAUACUGUAGUUUUAUGUAGCUUGCAACUUCUACUGAAAUGAGUUUAAUCAUGUCUUUCACAUAGCUGAAGUUUGUGUCAAGAUUUAAGCUGAUUUUCUCAUUCUUAUCAAAGUCUCACCUGGGGGUAGGGAGGGGUAGGCCUACCUCCCACCUCUAUACUAUCAUUUUAGGAACAGACAGGCAUAAAUCUGUUCAUAUGGUAGAACACAUGAUGUUAGAGUAUAUUUUGUUGAAUGCUAUGGAAUAUUAAUAUAAUUAAUUCUAAAAUAUCACCUAAAAUAUGUCAACUGAAGAUCUGACUGUACUAAAUAUGAAAAAUAAAGCAGCACAUACUUUCUCUAC